This 491-nucleotide ribosomal RNA is filed under the name uncultured bacterium. RNAcentral's name for it is "partial 16S ribosomal RNA". It matches the Rfam family "Bacterial small subunit ribosomal RNA", at positions 29 to 507 of the family's 1533-position model. The record is from RNAcentral.
AGUGAACGCUGGCGGUAGGCCUAACACAUGCAAGUCGAACGGCAGCACAGUAAGAGCUUGCUCUUACGGGUGGCGAGUGGCGGACGGGUGAGGAAUACAUCGGAAUCUACUUUUUCGUGGGGGAUAACGUAGGGAAACUUACGCUAAUACCGCAUACGACCUACGGGUGAAAGCAGGGGAUCUUCGGACCUUGCGCGAUUGAAUGAGCCGAUGUCGGAUUAGCUAGUUGGCGGGGUAAAGGCCCACCAAGGCGACGAUCCGUAGCUGGUCUGAGAGGAUGAUCAGCCACACUGGAACUGAGACACGGUCCAGACCCCUACGGGAGGCAGCAGUGGGGAAUAUUGGACAAUGGGCGCAAGCCUGAUCCAGCCAUACCGCGUGGGUGAAGAAGGCCUUCGGGUUGUAAAGCCCUUUUGUUGGGAAAGAAAAGCAGCAGGUUAAUACCCCGCUGUUCUGACGGUACCCAAAGAUAAGCACCGGCUAACUUCGUG